RNAcentral lists this ribosomal RNA (449 nucleotides) under uncultured bacterium. Its description in RNAcentral is "partial 16S ribosomal RNA". It matches the Rfam family "Bacterial small subunit ribosomal RNA", at positions 29 to 523 of the family's 1533-position model. The record is from RNAcentral.
AACGAACGCUGGCGGCAUGCCUAACACAUGCAAGUCGAACGAGAUCUUCGGGUCUAGUGGCGCACGGGUGCGUAACGCGUGGGAAUCUGCCCUUUGGUUCGGAAUAACAGUUGGAAACGACUGCUAAUACCGGAUGAUGACGAAAGUCCAAAGAUUUAUCGCCAGAGGAUGAGCCCGCGUAGGAUUAGCUAGUUGGUGUGGUAAAGGCGCACCAAGGCGACGAUCCUUAGCUGGUCUGAGAGGAUGAUCAGCCACACUGGGACUGAGACACGGCCCAGACUCCUACGGGAGGCAGCAGUGGGGAAUAUUGGACAAUGGGCGAAAGCCUGAUCCAGCGAUGCCGCGUGAGUGAUGAAGGCCUUAGGGUUGUAAAGCUCUUUUACCCGGGAUGAUAAUGACAGUACCGGGAGAAUAAGCUCCGGCUAACUCCGUGCCAGCAGCCGCGGUAA